CGGCAUUUCUCGCGAGCUCGCGAGCAGCAGACGGCUCGAGCUCCCCUGCUCUCCCUCUCUCUCUGUCUGUGUGUGCGCGUGAUAUCGGUUACGACACCACAGUGUAAACAGCCAUGGCUGCACUGCGCAGGCUUAUCCUUUCAUUCAGCUCCAAAGCAGAGACGUUCACGGCGCGGAAACCGCCUCAAACACCCUCAAAGGCGACUAAAGCGCAGAAACUUAUCGCAGCGGGAGCGAGCAUCACAGCCGGCGCCGCCGCCGCUUAUUAUUACUAUUACUAUUAUUACUCCUGCCGCUCGCACGUCGGUAGGCGCCCCGGACUGAAGAGCCACGUCGAGGCUCGGCUCAUGCAUCUGGCGCUGCCAUCAGUUUCCGCCACCGAUAAGACAAGGACCUACAGUCUGGACGAUGGAGAUGCCUACAUGUCCUCCUAUGAAAACAGAUUUCGUCUGUUCAGUUCGGUGGAGUAUGAAGGACAGCUCUACAUGACUCCGCUGAACUUCAUCGAGUCGGUCACUCUGAGCGAACCAAAGAGCAGGAGAGUCUGCAAGUCCCUCACGAAAAAGGAAUUAGACAAGAUGCUGGCUGAUACCCCACCUGUUUGGAAAGGAUCAUCUAAUUUGUUUAGAAAUCUCCGUGAACGAGGUGUCAUCAGUUAUACAGAGUACCUCUUCCUGCUGUGCAUUUUAACAAAGCCCCAUGCAGGCUUCAGGAUUGCUUUCAACAUGUUUGAUGCAGAUGGGAAUGAAAUGGUGGACAAAAGGGAGUUCUUGGUGCUGGAAGAGAUUUUCCGUAAGAAGAAGGACAGAAAAGACAUUACUGAAGAUAUGCAAAGACAGGACCAGCAAAGCCUGCAGCUUUAUGGAAAUCACAGAUCUCAGGCUCACACCGUUCUAAAAAAAGACGGUCAGCAUGUGGCUGCCCGAGGCAUGUGGGAUGUUCUCAGACGUGGCACGAGUCAAGUUCUGUUUUCUGAUCUCACCGAGAAUGUGGACGAAAAAUCGGAGACCACACUCUUGGUGCAUUUCUUUGGGAAAAAAGGCAAAGCUGAGCUGAAAUUUGAGGAUUUUUACAAGUUCAUGGACAACCUGCAGACAGAGGUGCUUGAGAUAGAGUUCCUCUCCUACUCCAAAGGCAUGCCCACCAUCAGCGAGGAAGAUUUUGCUCAGAUCCUCCUUCGCUACACCAAUGUCGAGGAUGUUAGCGGGUAUUUGGAGAACAUGCGUCACAGUAUACCAGAUGAAAAGGGAAUCACCUUUGAGGAGUUUCGGUCCUUCUUCCAAUUCCUUAACAACCUGGAGGAUUUUACCAUCGCCAUGCAAAUGUACAACUUUGCCAACCGCUCAAUUGGCCAAGAGGAAUUUACCAGAGCGGUGUACGUGGCCACUGGCAUCAAACUGACCCCCCACUUGGUCAGCACUGUCUUCAGGAUCUUCGACGAGGACCACGACAAUAAGCUCAGCCACAGGGAGUUUGUUGGCGUCAUGAAAGACCGGCUGCACCACGGUGCUGGGGGCGUCCGAGUGGAGGAAAAGUUUGUCUCUUUCAAGUCCUGCAUGAAGAAGGAGCUUUCAGGCAAAUAGUAAAGGAAGGAAGAAAGUAAAGGAAGGAACAGUGGUGAACCGCUGACAGGGUCAUGGAUGGGCAAUGCUGACUGAUGCAAGUGGGGAGUGAAGGCUGGCCCGCAUGAUCCAAUCCAACAGGCGAGCUCAUGUAGCUCAAACUGCUGGAAACUUAAUGCUGUUUCUGACAGAAAGGUGUCAGAAUACACAGAGCAUCACAGUCUGCUGGGUAUGGAAACGCCUCUAUAGGAUGAAGCAGGUGCAGGUCCCAGCACCAGUGCAUGUCUUACAGUGUGGAUCAGCAGCCUCUCCUCUCUGCAACGACAGAAGGGUUAAUGCACACUGCAGCACAUUAUUUCUCUAUCUUAGAAGAUUUGAAAUAAACAGGAUGUGGCACGAAGAGGAUGUGGUCAGCCAAAUGGAAGAGGCGUUGUAAGCGGUCAAAUGAACACAGUGACCUGCUACUUAACACCCAGCGUUACAGGACUCUGCAAGUCUAACUAUAUGCUUUUGCUAUUUAUUGUUGCUGACUCUUAUUUAUUUAUUUAAAAAAGAAAAAUCAUGGUUGUCUUAUUAAUGCUUAAGUAUUUUAUUUUAUUUUUUGGUCACUCGUUCUUUCCUAAGCCUGAUAUGCCUCCAUACUUGGUCCUUUUGUGGUCUCUGCAGCCCCCCUGAACAGAUCAGCUUCUCCUCCUCCUCUCGCUCGCCCCCAAAGCUCUGCAGCUAAAACCCUCCAGGAUCCUCCAGAGAGGCAGCAGGCCCGAACACACUCACUGUGGCUUUCCCCCCGUUUGACUACAGGCAGCUAACAGUGUUAAUCAUUUCUUGGCUGGUGCAGAGAAGUGCUUUCACACCACUUGCAGGGAUGACCUCUGUAUAAACGUAUGCAAAAUGUUAAAGCCAUAUGUUUGUUUCACUCCUGAGCUUUAAUAUAAAUGGAGUUACAGAAACUAAAUGUACUUUUCCUAUAACUUCCACUUACUGUAACGAGUUCUUAAGCCAUGUCAUGCUUUGGGUAGAGCUGUGCUGAGGAAAAAAAGUUACAUGCUUUAAUAUUAACCAGACUAAUGUGUUUGCAUUUCACAAUACUCUGUUUAAAUGUUGGAAUAGCUGAGCUACUUCUUCACUUGAGAUCAGGCUUCGACUGUUACACGUCACCGGCGUGAUCACUGUUUUCAUGCCUGUAAGCGAAUAAACCACUCUCGGCCGAGCGUCCUCAACAA
This is an RNA transcript of Oreochromis niloticus (Nile tilapia), 2785 nucleotides long. It is a transcript of the gene named mitochondrial calcium uptake family, member 3b, with no coding region annotated. NCBI's taxonomy places the organism in Eukaryota, Metazoa, Chordata, Actinopteri, Cichliformes, Cichlidae. The record is from RefSeq and is a predicted model, not a curated record. The transcript has 16 exons.